GACAAUGUGAACGAAUCAGUGUGCAGCUUCAUCAAGUGGCAUAUGGAUAAUAUGGUAAUGCUGCCUUUUCUGUCUCUCAGGCUGUUUCCAUGGAAACCUUCAGAGCCAAACAAAAGCUACCAAUCAUUCAACCAAAAAGCUUGCCUUGGCUCAGAGAUGUGAGUUUCUUUAAGGAAAGCUGUUUUCAUACAUUUGGCUGUAGAAUAAGGGCUCUUAGACAUACCCUAAGUUACAGAACAUGUUUUCCCUUCCUACUGUUCUCUGGACAUAGUAAAUUUUUAAAAAUCUAUUCUGUGGGAUCAGUCUCCUGAAUUUCUCUCAGAUCUAUAGUUCCUCACCUGAUAAAGCAAGGUCUGGGUCACUUCUUCAAUGAAGUCUGUUGCCUUAAAUAAUGAUUUUACCCCCACAUGUUCCUAGAAGGGACAUUAAUGUCUUGAACUUUAAAGUAGACAUAUUUAAUGACCAGAGUUUCAGAAAAUGAUACUUUGCAAAAAUGGAAAAUACCAAAACAGUUAGGUAAGCUUACAGAAUUCAUACAGGCCACUCCACCAUAGCCUGGGUCAGUCAUCACAGAAACAUAAAACAGACACUCGAUAUGGGGAAACACAGCUAUAAUCCCAGUACCUGGGAGGCAAGGGCAGAAGGAUUACAAGUGCUAAGCCAGCCUGAGCUAUCUAACAAGGUCCUGUCUCAAAAAGCUAACCAAUAGGUGUGUGUUUGAGGGUGGGGUGUCAGUCUUCCUGUGUGCGCUAAGCCUGGACUUGAUCCAGUGGUCCUAACUGGUGGCCAGUGCAACUGCCCUGCUUUGAGCCUUUCAAGUUCUGUCAAAAUAGGAUAGGUCAAACUCAAGAAGAGUAGCAGACUUGUAAAAUCUACUUUUCAAAGUGAAGAGGACAACUGUUAAUAUUUUCUGUGUCUGAUCAAACCAAAUGGAUUUAACAGUCUCCUCUGUUUGUAGAAACUUAGAGCCACCGUCUGAACGUCUGCUCCCAGCUGGUGUCAUCUUUCCGGCUGGCUGAAUUUUAUAGGUUAGUUAGGUUUUGUUUUGUUUUGUUUUGUUUUGUUUUAAAUGCCUUUGAGCAGCAAAAUGUGUAAAAUAGGUCUGUUGACAUACUGUGAAUUCUGUAUUGUCAUUUAAUGAACUUCAGUGUCCUUACAGAAUUAAAUAGUGGCUUCAUAAAAUAAAUCUAUCAAAAGUUGCCAUUCUGGGGCUGGGGAUUUAGCUCAGUGGUAGAGUUUGCCUAGGAAGCGCAAGGCCCUGGGUUCGGUCCCCAGCUCCGAAAAAAAGAACCAAAAAAAAAAAG
This 1304-nucleotide long non-coding RNA is filed under the name Rattus norvegicus (Norway rat). RNAcentral describes it as "long non-coding RNA NONRATT004297". The record is from RNAcentral. Lineage: Eukaryota; Metazoa; Chordata; Mammalia; Rodentia; Muridae.